CCUGGCUCACGUUGAGCGCUAGCUACAGGCUUAACACAUGCAAGUCGAGGGGCAUCAGGAAGAAAGCUUGCUUUCUUUGCUGGCGACCGGCGCACGGGUGAGUAACACGUAUCCAACCUGCCCUUUACUCGGGGAUAGCCUUUCGAAAGAAAGAUUAAUACCCGAUAGUAUAAUGAUUCCGCAUGGUUUCAUUAUUAAAGGAUUCCGGUAAAGGAUGGGGAUGCGUUCCAUUAGGUUGUUGGUGAGGUAACGGCUCACCAAGCCUUCGAUGGAUAGGGGUUCUGAGAGGAAGGUCCCCCACAUUGGAACUGAGACACGGUCCAAACUCCUACGGGAGGCAGCAGUGAGGAAUAUUGGUCAAUGGGCGCGAGCCUGAACCAGCCAAGUAGCGUGAAGGAUGACUGCCCUAUGGGUUGUAAACUUCUUUUAUAUUAGAAUAAAGUGCAGUAUGUAUACUGUUUUGUAUGUAUAAUAUGAAUAAGGAUCGGCUAACUCCGUGCCAGCAGCCGCGGUAAUACGGAGGAUCCGAGCGUUAUCCGGAUUUAUUGGGUUUAAAGGGAGCGUAGGUGGACUGGUAAGUCAGUUGUGAAAGUUUGCGGCUCAACCGUAAAAUUGCAGUUGAUACUGUCAGUCUUGAGUACAGUAGAGGUGGGCGGAAUUCGUGGUGUAGCGGUGAAAUGCUUAGAUAUCACGAAGAACUCCGAUUGCGAAGGCAGCUCACUGGACUGCAACUGACACUGAUGCUCGAAAGUGUGGGUAUCAAACAGGAUUAGAUACCCUGGUAGUCCACACAGUAAACGAUGAAUACUCGCUGUUUGCGAUAUACAGUAAGCGGCCAAGCGAAAGCAUUAAGUAUUCCACCUGGGGAGUACGCCGGCAACGGUGAAACUCAAAGGAAUUGACGGGGGCCCGCACAAGCGGAGGAACAUGUGGUUUAAUUCGAUGAUACGCGAGGAACCUUACCCGGGCUUAAAUUGCAGUGGAAUGAUGUGGAAACAUGUCAGUGAGCAAUCACCGCUGUGAAGGUGCUGCAUGGUUGUCGUCAGCUCGUGCCGUGAGGUGUCGGCUUAAGUGCCAUAACGAGCGCAACCCUUAUCUUUAGUUACUAACAGGUCAUGCUGAGGACUCUAGAGAGACUGCCGUCGUAAGAUGUGAGGAAGGUGGGGAUGACGUCAAAUCAGCACGGCCCUUACGUCCGGGGCUACACACGUGUUACAAUGGGGGGUACAGAAGGCAGCUACCUGGUGACAGGAUGCUAAUUCCAAAAGCCUCUCUCAGUUCGGAUCGAAGUCUGCAACCCGACUUCGUGAAGCUGGAUUCGCUAGUAAUCGCGCAUCAGCCACGGCGCGGUGAAUACGUUCCCGGGCCUUGUACACACCGCCC
RNAcentral lists this ribosomal RNA (1383 nucleotides) under uncultured bacterium. RNAcentral's name for it is "bacterial SSU rRNA". It matches the Rfam family "Bacterial small subunit ribosomal RNA", at positions 18 to 1395 of the family's 1533-position model. The record is from RNAcentral.